GAGAGCCGACCUACGGAGAAAUCCGUAUGGGCGGUUCGGGAAGGAGAGGUUGGAAACGGCCUUUAAGGUAUCUGAAGAGAUUAAACGCGCCAACCUCUUACUUUCAC
This 107-nucleotide non-coding RNA is filed under the name Salinibacter ruber. The record is from RNAcentral. Lineage: Bacteria; Pseudomonadati; Rhodothermota; Rhodothermia; Rhodothermales; Salinibacteraceae.